This 209-nucleotide non-coding RNA is filed under the name Rhodosorus marinus. Lineage: Eukaryota; Rhodophyta; Stylonematophyceae; Stylonematales; Stylonemataceae. The record is from RNAcentral.
GGAGGAAUCUCAAAAACGCUGAUUAUAUAUUGAGCUCAAGCGGUGUCAUGGGAUCGCUGGGAAGGUCUGCAAGCUGGCUCUGCUGCCCAUCGCCACCUGAAUUUUGCCUCGAGCGACAAGGGCUUCGCUACCACCAAAGCAGGACCUUCGAGCUGGAGAAAUGUACCAUCCUGAUCAGCUUCUGAAAUCGUGGUUCCGAUAUCAGCACU